Molecule: non-coding RNA, 82 nt
Filed under: Cohnella sp.
Lineage: Bacteria; Bacillati; Bacillota; Bacilli; Caryophanales; Paenibacillaceae
Description: ZTP sequence
Rfam family: ZMP/ZTP riboswitch aptamer (pfl RNA motif)
About the family: Previously known as pfl RNA.
Source: RNAcentral
AGGUUCCGAUGUAACUGGCGACGCGAAGUGGAGAAACCACGGUGGAGCAUCGGAAUGACGGCCGGUCGCCUGGGCGAAGAGC